GGGAAGAGGGGGUUAUGGAAGUCUUCUCUGUGCCAGGUUGUCCUUCUCUCUCCGCGGCAACCCGCAGAAGGGCCGCAUUACGGUUUUCACAACGAGGAAAGUGAGGCCAGAGGGGCUCGGCAGCCCUCCCGGGGUCGGCCUGGCUGCCCAGUGAGUGUUCCUCAUCAGACCCCGUGAGAGCUACACUGCCUGUGGGUGAAAUGUACCAGACACACCGCGCAGGCUCAGUGUGAUUCACGUCGUUGGUUCCUUGCCUCCAAGGGCACGUCACAGAUGGAAGGCCUGGCUGGUAGGCUUCACGGUAGCUCGAUGAAUCCUGGUAGCCACAUUUGUGGAUGUGGAAAGACACCCACAGUCUGUUGUGCUAUGAGAAAAGCAGGCUGGAGGACUGCACGUUGACGACGAGCCUAUCUGUGCAGAGCUGGGCACGUGUGCAUGUCUCUUUGCCUUUGGUCAUUGGUUUUCCCACUUUUGUCCAUUCUUUGGCCUAUAACUUAAACAACAAUGACAGCAAAACCCAGAUGUCAACUGGAAUGAAAUACAAAGCUGUUUCACGGGUGGAGAAAAAGAAGAAUCCACUGGAUUCUUUCCCCUGCUGUAGAUCAUGCAUGGAUGAGGACCUGAGUGCAGGCCAGCACUGACUUCCUUGUUCUUACUGGAUACACUCACUGAGCAGCCUGCAGAUGUGCGGUUGGCUCCUGAGCUCAACCCUGACCAUAGAGAAAUAGCACCAGCCACCCCUGCCUCCGCCAUCUGGAAUGAGCUCCAUUCCUCCCUCUUCUGGAUGAGCCUGGAACCUCUCUGUACCUGUCUGAGGGUGGCGGCAAAGGAAGAAGCUCUUUCAUCUGAGCAUCCACAGGCCUGAAACAUAAGGGGGCCUUCGAGCCGUCUGCCAGCCCCCACAUCCAAUCAGUCACCAAGUCCUCUCCGGUCUUUCGGCAAAUGCUUUUUGUGUUCAUUGGCACUGACACUCCUCAGGUAUCCACACUUAACGAUUGUCUCUGGUUCACAGCAAGGUCCUCCUUAACCAGCCUUCCAGCAGCCACUAUCCCAUUUCUAACCCGUCCUAAACACCGGCACCAGACUUGAAUGGGAGAUGACUCUCCCUCCCCACUUUUGUGUCCUGAGCAGACAGUACAGAAUGUAGUUUGUGGGAGAUUAAAGAUGGCCCCUGAUUCCUUGCUGCUUGCUCCCAUUGAGAGGUCUACUUCCCUUUCUCUUCAAUCUGGGCUCCUGGCAGAGACUUGGUAACCAAUAGACUGUGGUGGAAACAAUGUUGCAUGAUUUUGAGACAAUGUCUUGAGAAGCCUGGCAGCUUCCAUCCAGUUCUCUUGGAGAACUUUUUCUCUCAGAGCUACCAUGAGCUACCCUGUAGGGAGCCCCACUAUUCUGAAGCCGUGGGGCUGUGAGAAAACCCAAGCCACAUGGAGUAGCCACUUGAGGGGGCUCUAGUCAACAGGUCAGCUGAACUCCCGUAAUGGCUAGGAGGCAUUUGAGAAGUGGAUUUCUAGCGCUCGGCUGACACCGUAAGUAUCAGAGAUGAUGAACUGCCCAGCUGAGCCCUCUCCAAAUUCCUGACACACAGAAUCAUGAGCCAAAUAAAAUUGUUGUUCUAAGAUUCUUAGUUUUGGUGUAGCUUGUCAUGAACCAAGAGAUAAGCAGACCAGUGAUCAAAAACGGUUGAAUGAAUGAAGAAUUCAUCGGCAGUAGUGCUCUAAUGGUGUCGCUGCCCUAGUCAAGAGCUCUCAGUGGCUCCCUAUAGCCCGAAAAAGAAUGUUUAGUGCCCUCAGUUGGCAUUUACGCUCCUUCAUAAUUUGGCGUCAGCCUGCUUUUCAGAUCUUCCCAAACAGAUACUUUUCCAACAUCAUGUCUUUACUUAUCUCUACUGCUUUCUCCAUCCGGAUGUCCUUUCUGCCCACAUUCCCACCUCAGGAUGUUGACAUUUAACUUGUCCUCUGAGACUUUAGUCAGGUGCCUUCUCUGGCUGCCCAGUCCAGCAGUGAGCCCUCCUCUUUCCAUCUCUACUUUGUUUGAUGUUUUCCUAAUUCUUUUCCUUCAUUGACCCUGUUCUUUAUUUCUCACCUCCUCCUCCUCGUGUGUGUGUGCGCACGCGUGUGGAGGGUGAGCACAUAAGGAGGCAUACAAACGUGUUGUGCGGGCUACCAGGCAUGAAUCCCUACAGAGCCUGAGAUGGGACUUGCCAGCACAUAAUCUGGCACCUUGUGUCUCCCAAGCGCUUGAAGGGAGGAAGGGUGUUUAGAAGCAGAGGCUUUGGGGUCAGCUCAGAUUUUGGAUCAUAAUUGUGCCACUUACUGUGUGGCUUUGGGCGAGAUGCAUGAACUCUCUGAGCUCAGUCUCCUUAUUUAGAAACUAGAGACCUCAUGAGAAUGUGUGUAUAGGCCCAGCUCUCGCGCUUGGCUCAUCACAGACCGUUAAUAACUGUUCGCUGAGUAGACACAGCAGAACAGUCGAUCAUCUUCUGGAAGCUCAAGUGUUAUCGUGUCAAUGUUGGAAAGAACUCUCCCGCAUCACAAAUAUAUACAUUUUAAAACAAUUAAAAGAAUUUUGAAAGGAACACAGAACAAGAGCAGAGUGAAAAGGCACAAUGGAGACCGCGUGGCCAGCCCCAACUAUAUUAAUCUGUGUGAUCGGCCUGGCUCUGCUGGGGCCUCAGUCUUCUCAUCUGUGAACUGAGCGGUGGGUACUGGAAUCUAAGCUCCCCUCCAGUGCUGACAUUCCAAGAGCAUUAAAGGAAAAGGAUGAAUCACCCCUUCAAAAUACCAAUACGGGCUGGGCCCUCCCCCUGCUGUCCCCAUCCAGCACAGCUAAGAGCUCGUAAUACACAGCCGGCUUCCUGCUGCAGCUGCCACGAAACUUCAACCCCCUUUCCCAGGGGUCUCAGAAGCAAGACUGAUAAUGGACCCCUGGCCUUCUCCAUCUCAACAGGGAACCAGAUCCAGUUCCCAGACUCUGGGGGCCAGAGGGCCCUCCCCUGAGGGUGCUGGCUUUCUGUGGACAUUUGGCUUUCAGUAUACAUGUGCAUGAAGUGUGGGGAGUGUUGGGAGGGCGGAAGGAAGGAAUAAAGGAAAGAGUUGAAAAUA
Long non-coding RNA from Lynx canadensis (Canada lynx), 3101 nucleotides. RefSeq lists it as uncharacterized. The transcript has 5 exons. The record is from RefSeq and is a predicted model, not a curated record. NCBI's taxonomy places the organism in Eukaryota, Metazoa, Chordata, Mammalia, Carnivora, Felidae.